GCCCCCGGCCCGCCCGGCCCCGCCUUCCCGCCGCCUCCUUUGUGUGCCAGCCGGCCGCAGCGUCCCCGCGCCGGCGCUCCGGGACGCCCCGAGUCCCGUUGCAGCCUCGCGGGGGCCGCCCCAAAGGGGUCCCCGUCGUGGGGCUGCGUCCAGAAAGCGCCGGGAGAAGCGGCGACCCCGAGACGGGGGGCGCCUCGGGACGGUGCCCACCGGUCCGAGUGAUGGUGAUAACGAUGCCAGCUCGCGGCCGGAGAGCGGCAGAUCACCCUUCGAGGCGCUUCGCAGGGCUCCCCAGAGCCGACUUCUCCCGGCCUCGGGGACAGAGGAGCGGGAGCUGGUCGCAGUAGGCAGAUGGCAGACGAGGGAACCCAGAAAACUGGAUUCCUGACUGCGGUGACAGCAUGAGAACGUGCAUGGCUGGUGUUGGCCAGCCUUCCUGAUGCCAGCAAGGGGAUACAGACGCAACCUCCCAAGCUUUCCAUGAUGUUCAAGUGACCAGGCGCUUCGACACCCAUCAUUAGAGGGCUGCCCCAAAGAAGCUGUGUCCUGUGUUGGUUGGUGGCCAUGAGCAGCGGUCCUUGCAGUGUUUGACCCACUUUGAAAUGUGUUUCUCAUAGAUGUGCACUUUCAAUCAGCGUUUCCCUCAUCUCGUCUCAGUCUUAUUUGAGAAAUGCAAACUGUUUAAUGCUCCUACCUGCCUCUUUCUGUGCCUCUUCCCAUUCACAGCAGAAUGUCAUUUUGUCCUUCAAUUGUGUGGCUUGCCUUAAUUGUCUGAUAGAGCUUCAAAUUGUUUAUUCCUUCAAAAAAUUUUAAAAAGUGACCUGGAGUUUUGCCAGCUCCAGCCAGUCUCUGAGUUUGGCUUUGUGUCCAUAAGCUGCAGUUGGGAGAAACGCAAGAAAUGCC
This 903-nucleotide long non-coding RNA is filed under the name Equus caballus (horse). Its description in RNAcentral is "lncRNA (ENSECAG00000037244.2)". The record is from RNAcentral. Lineage: Eukaryota; Metazoa; Chordata; Mammalia; Perissodactyla; Equidae.